UCAAAAUCGAAAAUCCUAAAUCUCAUCAAGCAAAGUGACUUGACUUUACCUCAUUGAAACAUGAUGUUUCAUUAGCUUUUGAGGAAUGGGUUCUUCAGGUUUUUGAGGUCUGCAGGUUGAAGUGCAAAUUAACUGUGGAGACAUCCUGACCUCCUGGUGCUUGCCAGGCUUGGAGAUUCAUCCUGGCUGUCUGGCAAGGGUUUCCCAUGACUUUAGGAGUGAUGGGGCUGCUGUGCUCGCUUGUGGGUAUCGUUUGGACCGGCUUUGCAGUCAUCUUUAUAAAAUGAGAGUAUCUUCCCUGCUCACACGCAGAGGUGGAAGUCUGCCAUGCAACGAAGAUGGAGGACCUGUGGGAGCAUUUCCCCCUCUGACUGGAGAGACAGCAACCUGCCUAGAAUUUAAUUACUAUCCAUUGCCUCCAUCAUUUUGCAGCUGAGCAGCUUGGGGUCUGCUUUUCACUUGAAGCCUUUUUUCUGGAUAGUUGAUCUGGGCAUUUUUUCUGUAUUAAGUUGCCUGAAAAGUACACCAUGGUAUGUGUGCUCUGAAUGUGCAUAGUCCAACCUAUAAUUACCAGUACAGUCACAAAUCACUGCCUCUCUGCAUGCUCAAAAUCACAGCUGGAUACAUGUGAAAUCAGUGCCUCCUCCUCUAAUAGUUCUGUGGCAAGAACUGCAAAUCACCUCCCAGCACAGUGUUUUUAACCCUUAAGGGUUAAGACUCAAGCUUAAAUAAUCUUAAAUAAAUUUAAUCUGUAGGUUUUGUGGGUAAGGUAUUCUUUCUCCUUCUGCACCACCUCUUCAUAUCCAAUACAAGGGUGCAACACUGCUGUGGCAGCCCUUGAGAAUAAAUGGGAGUUUCAGGUACCAGCUCUUACUUCCAGGACUGUUUUUAAUUCAAUGACUUCUGUGCAAAAUAUUUAAAUUGUAGUGGAAAAAGCAUACUCCUGGAGGCUGGCACAAAAUGUGCAUUUUUCAGAGAGAAAUCCCUCUGGAAGUCUGAAUGUUUGGAUACUACGGAUAGGAAUUUAAAAGCUUUUUAGAUUGCUUCACAGCCUGAUCUCCUCGAUAGAAGGAGCAAAUCAGGCAGAGGGCAAAUGGCUGGCACUGAUAUGGCCGAUUUGUUCAUAUGCCGUAUGCCUCCCACUGGGCCUGAGUGACAGACCGUAUUGAUCUGCUGCUUCCUUUAUAUCACCUCCAGCUUUUGUUUCAGUGCUUCCUGGUUCAGUUCCCAUAUUCUUUCUGUAUAAUAUCUUCUAGGAGCAGCAGUUGAGGUGCUGUUGCCUUUUGUGUUUUAAGCCAGUGGCUGGCCUGGCCCUCUCAAAAGGCAUGAAUUAAAAUAGAGUCUGCUGGUUCUUAAGCACUGAAUUACUAAUUUUGGGAGGGGAAAUCUGAGAAUUCACAUUUAUUGCUGUCACCCAGGCAGGCAGGCAGGGUAAAACUAACGUGGGCAGACUGGUGCCUGUGCAGUUACAGUGAUUCACAUGAAAGGGCCACUAAGCCCCCGUUAGAUACAAGUCCCCUUGUUGCAGUUGGGAACACACAGUGGGUAUGGUGAAUGGGGCAGCUUGGUGCUGGCAAGUGAGAUAAAUCUGGAAGAAAUGGUGUGCAAGGAACUCUGCUGUGAGUUCCUCCAGCCUCGCAAGGAGGACCACUCUUACUGCCUGGAAGUUACCAUGGCAAGAGGGACCUGGACAGGCAUGAGUGGUGGGCCCAGGCCAAUCUCAUGAAGUUGAACAAGGCCAAGUGCAAGGUCCUGUGCCUGGGUUGGAGCAUCCCAAGCACACAUACAGGAUGGGUAGAGAAUGGCUUGAGAGCAGUCCUGAGGAGAAGGAUUUGGGAGUGUCAGUUGGUGAAAGACUCAACAUGAGCCAGCAAGGCCAACCAUAUCCUGGGUUGCAUCAAGAGAAAUGUGACCAGAGAUUGAAGAAGGUGAUUGUGCCCCUCUACUCUGUUCUCAUGAGGCCCCACCUGGAGUACUGUGUUCAGUUCUGGAGCCCCCAGCACAAGAAGAACAGAGAGCUGCUGGAGCAGGUCCAGAGGAGGGCCAUGAAGAUGAUCAGAGGGCUGAAGCGCCUCCCCUACAGGGACAGGCUGAGAGAACUGGGGCUCUUUGGCCUUGAGAAGAGAAGGCUUCAGGGGGACCUUAUAGCAACCUUCCAGUACCUGAAGGAGCCUACAGGAAAGCUAAGGAGAGACUUUUUAUAAGGGUGGGUAGAGACAGGGCAAGGGGAAAUGGCUUUAAACUGGAAGAGGGUAGAUUUAGACUAUGUAUUAGGAAGGGAUUCUUUACUGCGAGGGUGGUGAGAUACUGGAACAGGUUGCCCAGAUUGAGGCUGUGAAUACCCCCUCCCUGGAAGCAGCAUUCAAGGCCAGGCUGGAUGGGGCUUUGGGAAACCUGGUCUAGAGGGAGGUGUCCCUGCCUAUAGCAGGGGGGUUGGAAAUAGGUGAUCUUAAGGGUCCCUUCUAACCUAAACCAUUCUAUGAUUCUAAGAGAUCCACUGUUAGAUUACUGCUUUUUUUACAUAACAUACUUCUAUUUCUACACAGAGCUGCUCAGAAGCUCUGUAAAGUAUAUUAUUGAUCCACAGGCAGCACGAUGAGGCAUGCAGAUGUAAUUAAGUAAUAAGGUGCAUGAAUACACAGACUAGAGAAGCCUUGUGUCUUAUCUUUAGGUUGGAUUUUUUGCUCUGGGGGAAAAGAAAUAGUCAUCUGACAGUCUUUUCUUGUGUCUGGGGCAUUUGCAGCUUCACUAAGAUUCUGGCUAAGCAACCACUGAGCUCACUGCCCACGGGAUACUUAUGAAUGCUUCCAUCAUCAUUUUAUUCCAGAAACUUUUAGUAGUAUAUAUUUGACAAAAAAAAAAAAAAGUUCACCGCUGAAUAAAUAUCUUUGAAAUCAGGUUUAGAGUUGAAGCAGGCAAGGAGAAAUGACAAAUGCUGUUACAUAAAUUCGUUAGCCUUAGAGAACAGGCUAAGGAGCAAAACAAGGCUGUGAUUAGUGUGAUGGAUUAAGCCGGUCCCCAGGCCUUUAUUCGUACUAAGUUCAGUGCUACUUGAGGCCAGGAAGUCCUUGUACGCUGUUAGAGGCUGCUCAGAGAUUUGUUCACAGAAAAAGGAUGCUUUGUUAACAGCAAGGGAAGGGUGUACUUAGCAUUGCCAGUCCUAACAUCCAUACAUCCUCCCCCUGAAAGCAGUGGAAAUGUAGCCACCACGGCUCCACGGUGGCUUUGUUCUAAACAUUUCCCAAUGCUGGCACCGCUGGCCGUAGAAGGACACGAUAUGGAAAAGAUCUGGACUUCAGUGGGACUUCUGGCAUACAGACAGUACUCAUGUAUGCCUGGGUGACCAAGAUGGAAAUCUCCACCUGAGUCCUAUUUGUGCUCUUGAGACCUAUGUUGUGCCACGCUAGUGAAAAGCUUUCGCAUGUUGAAGUUCUUAUUUGCAGCACCAACUCAGAGCUACGACAAAUAGCAGUGAUAGUUCUGGACAGAAGCAGAGCUCCUUCCCUGUGACAGCAGGUUCCAAAAUGUGAUUCCAUAUCAGUAGGGAAAUAAUUGCAAUAUGGUAAGAAAUAAUUCAUAUUUCCUGCAAAUAAUCACUCUGGUUCCCUACUCUUUUCCAGUCCCUUUUCUUAUUCACCUACCUACAAUAGCAAAUGUGACAACAACUUCUUGUCUGCCUUGUUUUGUUGCUGCAUUACAGCUUGGAACAAGCAACAGCUGGUUCAUCCUUGCUGUUUUCCCUAGGUUUUGACUUGUUCUUUGGCAAGGAGGGGAUCCUCUGAGUGCCCUGCUCUGUGCCAUGGCUGAGCCAGCUGAAAGGUCCAAAGCAUGAAGCCACAGUGUGGUGGCCAAACUGCUAUCAAAACCAAUUACUGAAAUCUAGGCUCUGUCCACCCCACUGCUACAAGGAAGGAAAACUACACCUCCCAUCCAGGAGACAAUCCUGGGAUAAAAGUGCAUGAUUCUGACUGACUACUGUGGCUGACACCCGCAAACUGGGGAUGUGACAUUGUGAGGCCAUGGAAUGUUAAGAGAUGGGCUGUGGUCUGUUUGUCCCUGUUAUGUAGGAAGCCACAAUGAACAAUGCCACUCUUCUUUCGUGGUGGAGAGGUUACGUGGUGUCAGCGCUGAGUUGGCCAGGGGCAGUGAUGUGAUGCACCCUAUGCUGUCUGUGAACAGAAGAGAACAGCUGGUAGAGGGAGUUUUCUGUUUGUGUUUGGGGGCAGAAAUACUCAGAGAAAAUCAUUAACUUGCUGAGGAUACAAAGCCAGGAGUGGCUCAUGCACCAGAAGGCUGUGCUGCCAUUCAGUGAGAUCUGGGCAGGCUGCAGAGCUGGGUGGAGAGGAACCUGAUGAGGUUCAACAAGAGCAAGCAUGAGGAGAGUAGCUCUGCGGAGAAGGACCUGGAUGCCUUGGUGGGUGCUGUGUUGUCCAUGAGCCCACAGUGUGCCCUGGUGGCCAAGAAGGCCAAUGGGAUCCUAAGGUGCAUUACUGGUGGCCAAUGGGAUUACAACUACAAUGGGAUCCUGGUGGCCAGCAGGUCAAAGGAGGUGAUCCUCUCUUUACUCUGCUCUGCUCAAGCCAGAUCUGGAGCAUGGUGUCCAGUUCUGGGUUUCUCAGUUCAAGAAAGAUAGCGAACUGCUGGAGACAGUCCAACUGAAGGCUACAAAGAUGGUGAGGGGCCUGGAGCAUCUCCCUGAUGAUGAAAGGCUGAGAGUUGUGGGGCUGUACAGCUUGGGGAAGAGAAGGCUGAGGGGAGAUCUCAUCAAUGCCUAUAAAUAUCUAAAGGAUGGGAGUCAAGCAGAUAAGGCCAGGCUCUUCUCAGUGGUGCCCAGCAACAGGACAUGGGGCAGUGAACAAAAACACAGGAAGAGUGACAGAGCACUGGAACAGGCUGCCCAGAGAGGUUGUAGAGUCUUCUUCUCUGGGGAUGCUCAAAACCCACCUGAACACCUACCUGUGCAACCUGCUGUAGGGAACCUGCAGAGGUCCCUUCCAACCCCUAUGAUUCUGGGUGAAUUUUGUGAACUUUAUUAAUGUGGUUAACUUUGAAGCACUCCAUGCAUAGGUAACAAAUAGUUCUCCUUUUGCACAAACCUGUGAUGGCUCAUACCCGCUCGCUUGUUCUCAAGGCAGCUUUAAUCACAAAUUCCCAUCACAGCACCAUGAAGUGAUUGCUUCUUGUUAUGAGGAAAGCUAACUCUGUCCCAUCCAUACUCAGCACAUGGUGGGAAACUGCAGCACAGUGUAAUGGAAAAUAUUUGUUUUUCUGUCUUGGAAAACCCAGAUUUGUGGGAGUGUGGAAGGCACAGCUGCUGAACUGAGUGGGCCUGCAGGAACAGACACAGCUUGCGAAGGCCUAUGGAUGGAUGGCAUUUAUUUACAGCACUUUCAAAAUUCCUUUCACUCUGCAGGUCUGAACUCCCAGUUGGUUUAUAUUCUGGGAAAUGAUGGAAAUUAUCAGCGUGGUUCAAACAUUGCCAAAUUCUUUGCACUUUUUCUUAUAGGGCAUAAAAUGGAACUGCUCUGCUAGGAAUAGGUGUUUUCCAACUGUGCAAAAGAGUUCAAAGGCACAAGUUCAAGGGCCCUCGCCCUUCACCUCCCUCUCCCUGCUGGCCUCCCCCCCCAAAGAAAUAAUUGGAUUUGUUUGUUGACACAAAACUGAAUGAGCAAGCCCAUCUGAAACGUGUUGGGUUAUACUAUAUAUUGUACAUGCCAGCCUAGAUGAUACGAUGUAAUUUCGUGACUGAGUGUAGAGAAGGCAGCAAAAAACCCUUUUAAAAAGUAAUUUCUAGUAGUACGGCUUAAUGAAACUCGCUGUUACAGACUCCACUAAAUAAUGGGAAGCUUUAUCAAAAAAGCUUUAUUUCUGUAACACUUCAUAUAAUCGCAUACUACUAAGUAACAAUAACAAAAGAAAAGUCAUGUUUCUUUCUUGGCAGCUCCUUGGCUCCUGCUGUUGCACAUGAACAGGAGGGAAGCAGAGACAUUGACUGGGGGAGGGCAUGGCUUUGCCCAGCCCCAUGUACCCCAGCUGUAAGAGGAUGAAAGCCAUCAGUAAUCAUCAUAGUUGACUCCCGCCCCAUGCCUGAAGGUGUGUGGGUUCCGGGGGCCGAUGGGCGAGUCCUCAUCAUAGUGGUGUUGGUAGUACCCCCCGUAGUACUCGCUGCCACCACGCCCCAGGCUCGUCCAGUAGGACAUGUCGUCUUCAAAUUUCGCCUCGUCGAAGCCAAGGUAGAGGAACUGCUGGUACCACUGCUGCACGUCGGGCUGGCUGCGGUCCCACAGCUGCCGCCGCGGGCGCCUCAGGCUGCGCAGGAACCCCUUGGCUGCCUCUUCCUUCAGCGACACCUCCGGCUUCGUGGCAAUGGGGGCUUCUCGUUUCUGAAGCAUCCGCUUAAGUUUAUUUCCUCUUGGAACACCGGGAGCUGCGCAGAGCAGCGGCACGACGAAGAGGAGGAAGAAGAGGAGGAAGGCCCCGGGCAGGGCUCCGCGGGGACACGGUGGCGGCAUGGCUGGUGGCCUUCCCGCCGCGACGGGACGGGAGCGGACGGGACGGGACGGGUCGGGUCGGAGGGAGUGGAGCAAGGGGUAGCCGCGCCCACGCCCACGUCGCGCCCGCCCUCGGCCCGGCCCGGGGCCCCGCUGCGGGGGGAGCAGAGCUAAGGAGGCCCCGGUACCGGGAUGCUCCGGAGUGCGGCCGUC
This 6704-nucleotide long non-coding RNA is filed under the name Gallus gallus (chicken). The record is from RNAcentral. Lineage: Eukaryota; Metazoa; Chordata; Aves; Galliformes; Phasianidae.